Molecule: small RNA, 126 nt
Filed under: Arabidopsis thaliana (thale cress)
Lineage: Eukaryota; Viridiplantae; Streptophyta; Magnoliopsida; Brassicales; Brassicaceae
Description: ATSL155470
Source: RNAcentral
AACUUAUGUGACUUAUAACUAUGAGCCAGUCCUCAUUGUUAUACGUUUCUUGAAAUUCUCGGAGUUCAAUGGUAAGUUUGUUAGAGUUUUCCAUUCGUGAACAAUGUUUGAAUGCAAUUAAACUGC